ACAGACCUCACAACCUCUGAGGAUGCCUGCCAUAGAUGUGGGCGAAACGUCAGGAGAGAAUGCUUCUGGAACAUAGCCAUACAGCCCGGAAAACUCACAGCAACCAAGUGAUUCCGGCCAUGAGAGCCUUUGACAACACAUCAAAGAGUACAGUGUUUUAGGAAACUUCAAAAUAUGGUUUAUUUAUUUGUCUGCCUAUUGUCUAUACAGUAUCCCAUUCUUUCCUUAGUGAAUUCAGAGCAGUGUACACAAGGGUUAUCACAAUGAAUACAACAAGCUGGCUAUGUAGGUUAGGCAAAUUGAUAGAUGAAUCGGAAGUGGAUCUAUAUCUCUGAAAGAACUCUAUGCAUGACAAAGCCAUAAAAAUAAAUCCUAAACAUGCUUACAUGGAUGACUGUCUGUCUGUCAGGACUGCUUUGCACAUUCCUACUUCACAGAGCGGGUUGAGCUAAUGGCCCUUGUAGUAUGAUUCUAUGAUGCUAUAUGGAAGCAAAUCUUGCUUGAUCAAGACAACUUAAAUUCCAUACAAAUCUUAUUAGAGAAAGAUGUGGUUUUGGUUUAUAAAAUUCUUAAUUAGCAGCAUGUUUUGUGCACUGACAUCUGAUCAACACCAGAGGGCAUAAAAUACUCUUUAAGGAACCAAAUCACAGAACCUUAAACCCAUAAUCAUGACUGGUAUAGGAACCAUGCCAUGACAGAUUCACAAUAUGAUUUCCCCUGUCUUGCAUAAAAGAAUACGUUAUAACUAUGGCAGUCUUUGAAUCAGAGGAAUCUGUCCUCUUCCAUAUUGAGGGUCAAACUGAAAAUAAUCUAGGGUCAUACUCCAAUUAUUAUCAAUUUUUUCAAUAUGAUUUUUUUCCAUAUGAAUGCUGCCAGAGACUUCCCUUCCAGAAAGAGGAGCAGUAGGUUCCAAGAAUGCAAUAUUGAAAUUUAAGAUACCAAAAGCAACUUAGGUGGCUGACAAACAACAGAAAUACCACAUUAGGAAAAAGAUAACGAAAUCUAAAUAGCUGCAUAUACUUAUAGAAACAUUAGAAGAGAUAGAAAUAAAGUUGGAAAAGACCAAAAGGUCCAUCCCAUCCAACCUCCUGACACUCAGGAAUAAACAUUCAAAGCACUCCUGAGAUAUGACCAUCCAGCCUCUGGUCAAAAAACCUCCAGGGGAGACUCCACCAUACACCAAGGCAGGAUAUUCCACUUCCAAACACAUUUUACUAUCAAGAGGUUUUUCCUAAUGUUUAGGUGGAAUCUCUUUUCCUGAAGUUUGAAUUCAUUGAUCCAUGUCCUAGUCUCUAAAACAGCAGAAAACAAGACUGCUCCCUCUUCAAUAUGACAUCCUUUCUAAUAUUUAAACAUGUCUAUCAUGACACCUCUUAACCUUUACUUCUCCAGGCUGAACAUACUCAGCUUCAUAAGCUGUUCCUCUUAGGGCUUUAGUUUCCAGACCUUUUACCAUGUUAGUCUCAGCUUGUCAAUAUCCUUCUUGAAUUGUGGUAUCCAGAACUGGACACAGCAUUCUAAGUGAGAUCUGGUUGACCCUGGGUGAGUCACAGACUCUCGGUCCCAUAAACCCGUGAUAGGAUUACCCUAGGAUCACUGUAAAUUGGAAAUUACUUGGAAGACACACAACAUCAAUUUGCCUUAACUAUAACAAGAUGAAUAAUAUGCAUCCUCUGGAACACAGGGAGGCAUCUCACAACCAGCUGGACUACUGCUCCAAUAAAGCUAACACAAACAAGGUUUCGUGCACAAUUUUUCCCCAGUCCAAAUUGAAAAAAAGCAGGGACUGAACUUGGUCCCUGAUGCAUGUGCUGCACCACCAAGCCACACGCUCUUCCAAUGUUUCACUUGCAUUUGCCUUAUAAAUAGUUCCUUAUUUUCACAUGCAGCAAGCUAAUGAUCACGACAUGCUGCCAUGCUGCUGCCCUGAGAUGGAACAGCCAAUGAAUAGCAGUGUUCUGAGGCACACCCACUGCACAGAAAGACAAGCUUUCGGGUAAUAGUUUGGACCUCCGUCGUCUUUUUGACGGACAUUAUUGCCAACUCUGGAUUGACGCUGGACUGACUGACUGACUACGACUCUGGACUAACCCUUCUGUGGCUAUCGGUGGAACUUGUGGAACCUUAGAUGUCUGCGUUUGGCUUUCGACCUCGGACCGGAUUGGGACCCCGCUGACCGUCGUUACCCUGAUUGAUGUGCCUGGACCUGGUUUUCGCCCGUUGCACGGAGGAGCAACAGCCCGAGUUACUUCUGUAGCUCUUGAGUAGCAGAGGGGAAUCUGCUGCUGAGUUUUGUGUUCAUUUUGACCUUUUGUUAACCAGUUUUUGUUUGUUUAAUUGCCAGGCUGAAGUAAGCACCUUUGAUUUAACCCGGAUUAAACUUCUGUUUAAUCCGGUUUAUUCUUUUGAACUGUUUAAACUCAAACGAAGCUAUUUUUGUUACUUUUCAUACUGAAGACAAGUGUUUGCCUAGUCUUUUGUUUCCUACGGGCAAUUUUUAGUUCUGUAACCUCAAUAAACUGUGUUGUAUUCUA
Molecule: long non-coding RNA, 2534 nt
Organism: Anolis carolinensis (green anole)
Lineage: Eukaryota; Metazoa; Chordata; Lepidosauria; Squamata; Anolidae
Exons: 2
Source: RefSeq, a predicted model, not a curated record